This 403-nucleotide unclassified non-coding RNA is filed under the name soil metagenome. RNAcentral's name for it is "partial contains 5.8S ribosomal RNA, internal transcribed spacer 2, and large subunit ribosomal RNA". The stretch from base 1 to 120 matches the Rfam family "5.8S ribosomal RNA", at positions 35 to 154 of the family's 154-position model. The record is from RNAcentral.
GAUGAAGAACGUAGUGAAAUGCGAUAAGUAAUGUGAAUUGCAGAAUUCAGUGAAUCAUCGAAUCUUUGAACGCACCUUGCGCCCUUUGGACUUCUGAAGGGCAUGCCUGUUUGAGUAUCAUGAACACCUCAACUCCUUAUGGUCUUCCAUGAUGAGCUUGGACUUUGGGGGUUUUGCUGGCCUACAGUCAGCUCCUCUAAAAUAAAUCAGCUUACCGGUGUUUGGUGGGUAUCAUGGGUGUGAUAACUAUCUACGCUCGUGGUUUUCCACCAGGUAACCUUCAGCAGUGGAGGUUCACUGGAGCUCAUAGAUGUCUCUCCUCAGCGAGGACAGCCAUUUGAAUGUUUGAUCUCAAAUCAGGUAGGACUACCCGCUGAACUUAAGCAUAUCAAUAAGCGGAGGA